Molecule: ribosomal RNA, 843 nt
Filed under: uncultured bacterium
Lineage: Bacteria
Description: bacterial SSU rRNA
Rfam family: Bacterial small subunit ribosomal RNA
Source: RNAcentral
GUGCCAGCAGCCGCGGUAAUACGUAGGGUGCGAGCGUUGUCCGGAAUUACUGGGCGUAAAGAGCUCGUAGGUGGUUUGUCGCGUCGUCUGUGAAAUUCCGGGGCUUAACUCCGGGCGUGCAGGCGAUACGGGCUGACUUGAGUGCUGUAGGGGAGACUGGAAUUCCUGGUGUAGCGGUGAAAUGCGCAGAUAUCAGGAGGAACACCGAUGGCGAAGGCAGGUCUCUGGGCAGUAACUGACGCUGAGGAGCGAAAGCAUGGGUAGCGAACAGGAUUAGAUACCCUGGUAGUCCAUGCCGUAAACGGUGGGCGCUAGGUGUAGGGGGCUUCCACGUCUUCUGUGCCGUAGCUAACGCAUUAAGCGCCCCGCCUGGGGAGUACGGCCGCAAGGCUAAAACUCAAAGGAAUUGACGGGGGCCCGCACAAGCGACGGAGCAUGUGGAUUAAUUCGAUGCAACGCGAAGAACCUUACCUGGGCUUGACAUAUAGCGGAUCGCUGCAGAGAUGUAGUUUCCCUUUUGUGGUCGUUAUACAGGUGGUGCAUGGUUGUCGUCAGCUCGUGUCGUGAGAUGUUGGGUUAAGUCCCGCAACGAGCGCAACCCUUGUCUUAUGUUGCCAGCAUUUGGUUGGGGACUCAUGAGAGACUGCCGGGGUCAACUCGGAGGAAGGUGGGGAUGACGUCAAAUCAUCAUGCCCCUUAUGUCCAGGGCUUCACACAUGCUACAAUGUCGGUACAACGCGCAGCGACACUGUGAGGUGGAGCGAUCGCUGAAAGCGCUUAGUUCGGAUUGGGGUCUGCACUCGACCCCAUGAAGUCGGAGUCGCUUAGUAAUCGCGGAUCAGG